CCAAUAGCGUAUAUUAAAGUUGUUGCAGUUAAAAAGCUCGUAGUUGAAUUUCGGGAUCAAUAUGUCGGUCGUGCCUCGGUACGUACUGACAUCAUUGGUUUCUCCCUUCUGAUGAACCAUGAUGCCAUUAAUUUGGUGUCGUGGGGAAUCAGGACUGUUACUUUGAAAAAAUUAGAGUGUUUAGGGCAGGCUCACGCUUGAAUACAUUAGCAUGGAAUAAUGAAAUAGGACGUUUGAUUCUAUUUUGUUGGUUUCUAGGAUCGACGUAAUGAUUAAUAGGGAUAGUUGGGGGGCAUUAGUAUUCAAUUGUCAGAGGUGAAAUUCUUGGAUUUAUUGAAGACUAACUACUGCGAAGGCAUUUGCCAAGGAUGUUUUCAUUAAUCAAGAACGAAAGUUAGGGGAUCGAAGACGAUCAGAUACCGUCGUAGUCUUAACCAUAAACUAUGCCGACUAGGGAUCGGAUGAUGUUAAAUUUUUAAUGACUCAUUCGGCGCCUUACG
This 500-nucleotide ribosomal RNA is filed under the name uncultured Glomeromycotina. Its description in RNAcentral is "partial small subunit ribosomal RNA". It matches the Rfam family "Eukaryotic small subunit ribosomal RNA", at positions 591 to 1092 of the family's 1831-position model. The record is from RNAcentral. Lineage: Eukaryota; Fungi; Glomeromycota.